This 447-nucleotide ribosomal RNA is filed under the name Salmonella enterica. RNAcentral's name for it is "partial 23S ribosomal RNA". It matches the Rfam family "Bacterial large subunit ribosomal RNA", at positions 2211 to 2657 of the family's 2925-position model. Lineage: Bacteria; Pseudomonadati; Pseudomonadota; Gammaproteobacteria; Enterobacterales; Enterobacteriaceae. The record is from RNAcentral.
UGUUUGAUGUUCUAACGUGGACCCGUAAUCCGGGUUGCGGACAGUGUCUGGUGGGUAGUUUGACUGGGGCGGUCUCCUCCUAAAGAGUAACGGAGGAGCACGAAGGUUGGCUAAUCCUGGUCGGACAUCAGGAGGUUAGUGCAAUGGCAUAAGCCAGCUUGACUGCGAGCGUGACGGCGCGAGCAGGUGCGAAAGCAGGUCAUAGUGAUCCGGUGGUUCUGAAUGGAAGGGCCAUCGCUCAACGGAUAAAAGGUACUCCGGGGAUAACAGGCUGAUACCGCCCAAGAGUUCAUAUCGACGGCGGUGUUUGGCACCUCGAUGUCGGCUCAUCACAUCCUGGGGCUGAAGUAGGUCCCAAGGGUAUGGCUGUUCGCCAUUUAAAGUGGUACGCGAGCUGGGUUUAGAACGUCGUGAGACAGUUCGGUCCCUAUCUGCCGUGGGCGCUGG